CAGGAAUCCUAACCCCCUGGCAAACAGGAGCAGCUUAUUCCAAGUUCUUGGAAAAUAACGAAGAAAUCUGCUUCUUAUCCUAGAUUUUAUUCAAGAAAUUCCUUAAUGGGGUGUGGGAAUUUGGUCAGCUCCUUCAAAUGGUUCAAAGUGAGCACUUCCCUUGAUGAGAGCUGGUUAAUGCCCAGCCUAGGUUGUUGUGUGUUCACCAGGUGAUUUUCUGAAGCUUUAUAGGAGGUGUUUGCACUGCUGGUACAACAAAAUACAGUUUGAUGGGAGCAAUCCAUAGAUGGAGCCAUUGAUAGAGCUGUUUAGAUCCAUGCAGAGCAAUGGGAACAGGACAAGCUCCUCCACUUGUCCACAGGGACACCAGAAGAGCUGUGAUGGUUCCAUAUCUCACCACUGCUCUGGCAGUGGUUUCUGCAGAGAUCCAAGUGAGUCACUUGGGACAGGUGAGCACUUUUCACACCCUUUGACAGUAAUGCAGAGCUCAAUUGCUCCUUUGAGGUGAAGGUUUAUCGCAGAGAGGUCAGAUGUGUCACAGCUUCCUGCACUAAGCCAAGGUGAUCUGCAGCACCAAUGUAAAUGCAGACCAUUUCCUGCACUUUCUGGCUAGAAUUUAGUUAGGACUGUCAGCAUCCUCUUCAUCUCCACUGUCCCUGGGGUAAGUGCACAAGAAAUAGUACAGUGGGAGAUGAAUACAGAAACAGGUCCUGUGCUGUUGUCAAGUUAGACAUGAGUAGAUCCCGUUAACUCCAUGGAGCUGCAGUGGUUUUCCUUCACCUGUAAGAAAUGUGAAAUGCCAAAAAACUUGUUUUUCAACAGUAGUAAAAAUACUUCUAGGAGAUUUUUUGAGAGCUAUUUUAAGAGCUUCAUUUGAGAAUGAAGAAUGCUUAGUGGCAAAAGUUAAAGGUGGUGCUAAAGGGGAGCUUGCAAUUACUUGAGGACUGUCAGGUGAGGUGGUAAGAUCUGGCUGGACUUGGCAGAAACACAGGUGGGACUAUGUACAAAUUUGGAGGAUAAUACAGAAUUGGAAGUGGAAGGGCAAGUAGAGAAUAAACAAGAGGUCAUCUACUUUCA
Molecule: long non-coding RNA, 1077 nt
Filed under: Parus major (Great Tit)
Lineage: Eukaryota; Metazoa; Chordata; Aves; Passeriformes; Paridae
Description: lncRNA (ENSPMJG00000005869.1)
Source: RNAcentral